CCUACGGGAGGCAGCAGUGAGGAAUAUUGGUCAAUGGGCGCGAGCCUGAACCAGCCAAGUAGCGUGAAGGAUGACUGCCCUACGGGUUGUAAACUUCUUUUAUAAAGGAAUAAAGUGCAGCACGUGUGCCUUUUUGUAUGUACUUUAUGAAUAAGGAACGGCUAACCCCGCGCCAGCAGCCGCGGCAAUACGGAGGGGACGAGCGUUAUCUGGAUUUAUUGGGUUUAAAGGGAGCGUAGAUGGGUUGUUGAGUCAGUUGUGAAAGGUUGCGGCUCAACCGUAAAAUUGCAAUUGAUACUGGCAGUCUUGAGUACAGUUGAGGUAGGUGGAAUUCGUGGUGUAGCGGUGAAAUGCUUAGAUAUCACGAAGAACCCCGAUUGCGAAGGCAGCUUACUAAACUGUGACUGACAUUGAUGCGCGAAAGUGUGGGUAUCAAACAGGAUUAGAUACCCGUGUAGUC
This 460-nucleotide ribosomal RNA is filed under the name uncultured bacterium. RNAcentral describes it as "partial 16S ribosomal RNA". It matches the Rfam family "Bacterial small subunit ribosomal RNA", at positions 338 to 795 of the family's 1533-position model. The record is from RNAcentral.